UUUUAUCAUUUUUGUAGGAAUCCUGAAGUUCCUAAAAAUGCUGCAGGUGGUGGGAGAAGGCAGUGAAGGAGACCAAAUAGGAGCUAUGAUUAGCAAGCGGGGAGCCAAGAAGUCCUGUGCUUGGGAAGCCAAGGCAAGAGGGAAGAAAAGAGGUCCCACAAAUGCUGGAGACAGUGCCCAUGUGCUCACCACAAGCUCAGCAGAGGGGAGGAGUGAACAUUCUCACUUUACAGAUGGGACGUGGGGGUGUCUCCCACAAAGGGACCCUGCAUGGCCCUGUGCUCAGUCAUGUCACCUUCAGAGGAUCUGAAUUCACCGUGGGACUCAACUUCACAAACACCAUCCCAGAUGCUUCCUGGCAAAGCAGUGAUGGCCCCUGACCACUGACUUCCUGGCUUCCACCUACUGGCACCUCCCUGUCUGGCCUGAACUUGCUUUUCCCUGUGCAGAGGCCAUAAGUGCCAGAGAGUAAUCAUGCUCCUGGGCACGGCCUUUGGCCACCAGCUGGGUACCAAUGCCCAGCCUGGGGCACUGGCUGCAUGUGGACUCCCAGGAUUCCCAGCAAGUGUCAUUGAGCUUCCUAUACAAGGGACAGCCUUGAGGCUGUGCUCUUAUUGGCUAUCCCUUCACAUCUCCCUUCCCUAAUCCCCUACUGUAUUUUGCAGAUGUUGCUGUAAUUGGCUGUGGUUUGUUGCCCGGGGUUCAUGUACCAGAAGCUUGGUCUUCAAUGUGGCCAUGAUGAGGUGGUGAAACCUUUAAGGAGUGGGGUGUAGGAGGAGGGAUUUGGUCAUUGGGGUGUGUCCUAAGUCAUUGGGAUGUGUGCCAGGUCUUUGGGGGUAUGUCCUAGCCCAUUGGAGUGUGUCCCAGGUCAUUGGGGGUAUGUCC
RNAcentral lists this long non-coding RNA (885 nucleotides) under Chinchilla lanigera (long-tailed chinchilla). RNAcentral describes it as "lncRNA (ENSCLAG00000025363.1)". The record is from RNAcentral. Lineage: Eukaryota; Metazoa; Chordata; Mammalia; Rodentia; Chinchillidae.